UUUUUUUUUUUUUUUUUUGGUAGAAGCCGGCACGUUCAUUCUAAAAUUCAAAAGCAAUAAAAGGACUAGAAUGCCAAAAAACUUUGAAAAAGAACAAAAUCUGAGUAUUUACAGUACCCGAUUUCUAGACUUAUUUCAAAGCUUCAGUAAUUGUGCCAACAUUGAGAGACACAAACAGAUCAAUGGAACAGAAUACAGAGCCCAGCACAACCACAUACAAAUGGUCAAUUGGUUUUUGACAAAGAUGUGAUGGCAAGCCAAUGGAGAAAAAGGACAGUCUUCUCAUUAAAUGGAGCUGGGACAACUGGCUAUCCUAAUAUUUAAAAAAAAAAGAACUUUAAUUCACAUCUUGCUCUCAUAAAAAUAAACUCAAAAUGGAUCAUGGACCUAAGUAUAACAGGAAUACAUAUGUUUUCAUUUACAAGAUGUAUGACUAUGUAUCUUAUAAAUGAAAACAUGGGAGAAAGUCUUUGUGAUCCUGGCUUAACAAAGAUUUCUUAGCUACAGCAACCAAGACAUGAUCCAUUAACACUGAUAAAUUAGACUUCAUAGAACUCUCCACUUUGGAAAACAUUAAGAGAAUGAGAAGACAAGCCCCAGAAUGGGAGAAAAUAUUUGCACAUAUCUGAUAAAGACUUUUCUCUAGAAUAUAUAAAGAACUGUCAAAAUUCAACAUUAAGGAAACACACAACACAAUUCAGAAUUGAGCGAACUAUGGGAACUUACAGUUCACCAAAGAUGUACAAACAGCAAAUAAAUAUUUGAAAAGAUGCUCAAAACUAUUAGGAAAUAAAAAAUUAAUACCACAAAGAAAUAUCAUUGUACAGUAAUGAGAGUGUCUAAAAUAUAAAAACUGACCAAGUGAUGACAAGGAUGGGUACCACUUGAACUCUCCUAUUACUGGUGGGAAUGUAAAAUGGUAAACAAACAAACAACAAAAAACUUUGGAAAACAAUUGGAAAGUUUAAAAGUUAACAUGCAUCUACUAAACGAUGCAGGAAUUGGCCCAAGAGAAGUUAUUAUGUUCACUCAAGAACAUUCACAUGAACAUUCAAAGCAACUUUAUUUGUAGGAGACAAGUCUGAAACAACCCCAAAUGCCCAUUAACACUUGGAUGCUAUGGAAUGGGAGAAAACAGUUGCAAAUGAUGCAACUGACAAGGGCAUCACUGUCAGUUGAUGAUGCCCUAAAUAUAUACAAAUAUACAAACAACAUAUCUCUAAAAUAUACAAACAACUUAUAUAAUUCAACAGCAAAAAAGCCAACAACCCAUUGAAAAAUGGGCAAAAGACCUGAGUAGACAUUUCUCCAAGGGAGAUAUACAAAUGGCCAACAAGCACAUGAAAAAAUGCUCAACAUCACUGAUUAUUAGAGAAAUGCAAAUCUAAACUACCACGAGAUACCACCUCGCACCAGUCAGAAUGGCCAUCAUUAAGAAGUCCACAAAUAACAAAUGCUAGAGGGGGUGUGGAGAAAAGGGAACCCUCUUGCACUGUUGGUGGGAAUGUAAGCUGGUACAACCACUAUGGAGAACAGUAUGGAGGUACCUUAGAAAUCUAUACAUAGAACUACCAAAUGACCCAGCAAUCCUACUCUUGGGCAUAUAUCUGGACAAAACUUUCCUUAAAAAAGACACAUGCACCCCCAUGUUCAUUGCAGCACUACUCACAAUGGCCAAGACAUGGAAACAACCCAAAUGUCCAUCGAUAGAUGAUUGGAUUAGGAAGAUGUGGUAUGUAUGCACAAUGGAAUACUACUCAGCCAUAAAAAAGAACAAAUGAAUGCCAUUUGCAGCAACUUGGAUGGAACUAGAGACUCUCAUCCUGAGUGAAGGAAGUCAGAAAGAGAAAGAUAAGGAGUUCCCCAUCGUGGCACAGUGGUUAAUGAAUCUGACUAGGAACCAUGAGGUUUCAGGUUCGAUUCCUGGCCUUGCUCAGUGGGUUAAGGAUCUGGUGUUGCCAUGAGCUGUGGUAUAGGUCACAGACGCAGCUCGGAUCCCACGUUGCUGUCAUUGUGGUGUAGGCUGGCAGCUCUGUAGGUCUGAUUAGACCCCUAGCCUGGUAAGCUCCAUAUGCUGCAGGAGCAGCCCUAGAAAGGCAAAAAAAAAAAAAAAAGAAAGAAAGAGAGAGAAAGACAAAUACCAUAUGAUAGCACUUAUAUCUGGAAUCUAAUAUACAACACAAAUGAACCUUUCCACAGAAAAGAAAAUCAUGGACUUGGAGAACAGGCUUGUAGUUGUCAAGGAGAAGAGGGAGGGAGUGGGAUGGAUGGGGAGCUUGGGGUUAAUAGAUGCAGACUAUUGCCUUUGGAAUGGAUUAGCAAUGAGAUCCUGCUGUGUAGCACUGGGAACUCUGUCUAGUCACUUAUGACGGAGCAUGAUAAUGUGAGAAAAAAGAAUGUAUACAUGUAUGUGUAACUGGGUCACCAUGCUGUACAGUAGAAAAAAAAAUAAUGUAUUGAGGAAAUUAAAAAAAAGUGAAAAGAAAUUUGGAUGCUAUGAAUAAAGAAGCAAAUAGUGGUAGGGUUGUAUGAUACAAUGAAGUGAACUACUAAAAUCCACCGAGGUAUAUAUUUUAUUUAUUUAGUUUUUGGCUGCACCUGCAGAAUGUGGAAGCUCCCAGACCAGGGAUCAAACCUGUGCCACGACAACACUGAAUCCUUAACCGGCUGCGCCACAAGGGAACUCUGAGUUGUAC
Molecule: long non-coding RNA, 2696 nt
Filed under: Sus scrofa (pig)
Lineage: Eukaryota; Metazoa; Chordata; Mammalia; Artiodactyla; Suidae
Description: lncRNA (ENSSSCG00030062031.1)
Source: RNAcentral